Molecule: transfer RNA, 67 nt
Filed under: Tridacna maxima
Lineage: Eukaryota; Metazoa; Mollusca; Bivalvia; Cardiida; Cardiidae
Description: tRNA-Thr
Source: RNAcentral
AGGGCGUGUAGUUUAAAAAGAGCGUCGGUUUUGUAAUCCGAAAGUGAGAAUAAGUCUCUGUGUCCUG